Molecule: ribosomal RNA, 273 nt
Filed under: uncultured bacterium
Lineage: Bacteria
Description: partial 16S ribosomal RNA
Rfam family: Bacterial small subunit ribosomal RNA
Source: RNAcentral
GAACGAUGAACUUCCUUCGGGAAGGGAUUAGUGGCGAACGGGUGAGUAACACGUGAGAAAUCUGCCCUUCACUCUGGGAUAACACCGGGAAACCGGUGCUAAUACCGGAUACUCCAUCUUGGCGGCAUCGCCGAGCUGGGAAAAAACUUUGAUGAAAGAUGGUCUCGCGGCCUAUCAGCUAGUUGGUGAGGUAAAGGCUCACCAAGGCGACGACGGGUAGCCGGCCUGAGAGGGCGACCGGCCACACUGGAACUGAGACACGGUCCAGACUCC